RNAcentral lists this transfer RNA (67 nucleotides) under Penicillium nalgiovense. Its description in RNAcentral is "tRNA-Pseudo". It matches the Rfam family "tRNA". Rfam says of the family: Transfer RNA (tRNA) molecules are approximately 80 nucleotides in length. Their secondary structure includes four short double-helical elements and three loops (D, anti-codon, and T loops). The record is from RNAcentral. Lineage: Eukaryota; Fungi; Ascomycota; Eurotiomycetes; Eurotiales; Aspergillaceae.
GGUUCCAUAACUCAGUUGGUUAGAGUGUGAUGCUAAUAACGUCAAAGUCGAGGGUUCGACCCCCUCU